Molecule: long non-coding RNA, 283 nt
Filed under: Nicotiana benthamiana
Lineage: Eukaryota; Viridiplantae; Streptophyta; Magnoliopsida; Solanales; Solanaceae
Description: long non-coding RNA (NBEN_LNC003520)
Source: RNAcentral
UACUUUUACCAAUAUCAGUUGUAAUAGAAAUACGAUUAGGUAUAUGAGUAAAUAAAUAGCGAAAAUAGUGUUCAUAUUCAUGCUUGAAUUUAUAAAUAUCGGCCUUAAUUGUUGCACGAAGCCAACCUUUAUAAGUAGGAUUAAAGACUCUUCUAAUAUAAUGAAUCCAAUUAGGAUUAGAAGAAAAAGUAUAAGGCAAGCACAUAACAGUAAUCAUUUUCGCUAAUUCUUCACGAUCCUUAUUUGGAUCGUAAUAUAAAAUACCUCCGGUGACAAUGUUNNN